This 1140-nucleotide ribosomal RNA is filed under the name Triticum aestivum (bread wheat). Its description in RNAcentral is "partial small subunit ribosomal RNA". The record is from RNAcentral. Lineage: Eukaryota; Viridiplantae; Streptophyta; Magnoliopsida; Poales; Poaceae.
AUGGCGGACGACUCCAAGGACAUCAGCAGGCUUCUGAAUCCAGCGGACAAGCUCACCGAAGACCUCCUCAUCGAGAUCCUGUCGCGCGUGCCGUACAAGUCGCUGUGCCGGUUCAAGUGCGUCUCCAAGCGGUGGCGCGGCAUCAUCUCCCACCCCGACCACCGCAAGGCGCUGCCGCAGCACCAUCUCCAUGACCUCGCCGGAUUCCUCUACUCGAGCCGCAGCCCUGACUAUUUAUUGAUUCGCAAUUUCACCCAUGUCUCCACGGGAGGCCGCCCUCCUAUCGCUAUCGACCCUUCGCUCGCCUUCCUGCCCGACUGUGACAGGUUCCACCUUCUGGACAGCUGCAACGGCCUACUCCUCUGCAGCCGCUUCGAGACCGCUGAUUCGCAGGCAUUUGAUUACGUCGUGUGCAAUCCUGCCACGGAGAAAUGGGUUGCCUUGCCAUUGCCGGGCUUCUUCAGCAAGAUACAGACAGCUCGCCUGGGGUUCGACCCGGCCGUCUCCUCGCACUUCCAUGUGUUCCAGUUCCUGAAGGACGGGGAUGGCCACGUCAAAGGGGUUGAGAUCUACUCGUCCAAAACCGGCGUCUGGAGUCACAAGGACAGCGGUUGGGGCUUCCCGGCUAGAUUAACGAGUUUAAGUGCCUUUGGCAAUGGUUUUCUUUAUUUUGUUGCCAUCUGGUCUGCGGUGGUGGCAGUGGAUGUGGAGGGAACUGCUUGGAGGGUUAUUCCUAUGCCAUGCAAUCCGUUUGGCCCUGAAAUAGAUCUUGCUGUCGGGUUCACUGAUCCGUCUCAAGGGCGUUUGUAUUUAGCAAAUAUUGAUCAUCAUGAUGGUCACAGACUAUUGAUCUCGGUUCUUGAGGACUACGGCAGUGAAGUGUGGGUCUUGAAGCACAGCAUUAGUCCUUUUGAUCUACUUGGAGAGAAGUAUGUACAUCGGGGAAUCAGGUUUCACAUUGUCGCCCACCACCCGCGACGAAACAUGAUUUUCUUUGUUUAUGGGCAUGACAAAGAACUCGUGUCUUAUGAAAUGGAUAGUGGAAAAGUGCAGUUCAUCGGCGUUCUUGGAAAUGGUUCCGUGGGACCCUACCUUCCUUAUGUUCCCUUGUACUUGGAGGAAUUGGCAGAUUGGAACUGA